This 40-nucleotide transfer RNA is filed under the name Coptosapelta diffusa. RNAcentral describes it as "partial tRNA-Phe". The record is from RNAcentral. Lineage: Eukaryota; Viridiplantae; Streptophyta; Magnoliopsida; Gentianales; Rubiaceae.
GUCGGGAUAGCUCAGCUGGUAGAGCAGAGGACUGAAACUC